CAACUAGCCCUGAAAAUGGAUGGCGCUAAAGCGCCCCACUUAUACCCGACCGUUGCGGCAGAGCAGACCCAUUGUGGUCCUCACGCCGCAACGAGUAGGAAGGUCGCAGGGGUGGCGCGGAAGGCUCUGAGAGUGAUCUUGGCUGGAGCCGCCCCUGGUGCAGAUCUUGGUUGUAGUAGCAAAUACUCCAGAGAGGCCCUGGAGGACCGAAGUGGAGAAGGGUUUCGUGUGAACAGCCGUUGAACACGAGUCAGUCGAUCCUAAGGCUUAGGGGAAGCCUUAAUCAAGCGUUUGGAGAAAUUUUUUUUUUUACGAAAAAAAUACCAAAUGAGAGCCGAAAGGGAAUCUGGUCCAUAUUCCAGAACCUGGUAGCGGAAUCGUUCGGACCCUCGUAUCCGUCGUGGCAACGCGACACGACCAGGAGACGCCCACCGAAGCUCUGGGAAGAGUUGUCUUUUCUGCAUAAGCCGCCGAGGCCCUGGAAUCCUCCUUGCAGGGAGAAUGGGUUUUGGCAUUGGCGAAGAGUGCUGCAGUUCUCGCAGCAUCCACGAGUGGUCGGUGGGACCUUGAAAAUACCUGGGGAGAUUACGGCGGACUCGCACCAGCUCGUACCCAUAUC
RNAcentral lists this ribosomal RNA (619 nucleotides) under Tigriopus californicus. Its description in RNAcentral is "eukaryotic LSU rRNA". It matches the Rfam family "Eukaryotic large subunit ribosomal RNA", at positions 1303 to 1854 of the family's 3401-position model. The record is from RNAcentral. Lineage: Eukaryota; Metazoa; Arthropoda; Copepoda; Harpacticoida; Harpacticidae.